Molecule: ribosomal RNA, 1486 nt
Filed under: Klebsiella pneumoniae
Lineage: Bacteria; Pseudomonadati; Pseudomonadota; Gammaproteobacteria; Enterobacterales; Enterobacteriaceae
Description: bacterial SSU rRNA
Rfam family: Bacterial small subunit ribosomal RNA
Source: RNAcentral
UUGAUCCUGGCUCAGAUUGAACGCUGGCGGCAGGCCUAACACAUGCAAGUCGAGCGGUAGCACAGAGAGCUUGCUCUCGGGUGACGAGCGGCGGACGGGUGAGUAAUGUCUGGGAAACUGCCUGAUGGAGGGGGAUAACUACUGGAAACGGUAGCUAAUACCGCAUAACGUCGCAAGACCAAAGUGGGGGACCUUCGGGCCUCAUGCCAUCAGAUGUGCCCAGAUGGGAUUAGCUAGUAGGUGGGGUAACGGCUCACCUAGGCGACGAUCCCUAGCUGGUCUGAGAGGAUGACCAGCCACACUGGAACUGAGACACGGUCCAGACUCCUACGGGAGGCAGCAGUGGGGAAUAUUGCACAAUGGGCGCAAGCCUGAUGCAGCCAUGCCGCGUGUGUGAAGAAGGCCUUCGGGUUGUAAAGCACUUUCAGCGGGGAGGAAGGCGUUAAGGUUAAUAACCUUGGCGAUUGACGUUACCCGCAGAAGAAGCACCGGCUAACUCCGUGCCAGCAGCCGCGGUAAUACGGAGGGUGCAAGCGUUAAUCGGAAUUACUGGGCGUAAAGCGCACGCAGGCGGUCUGUCAAGUCGGAUGUGAAAUCCCCGGGCUCAACCUGGGAACUGCAUUCGAAACUGGCAGGCUAGAGUCUUGUAGAGGGGGGUAGAAUUCCAGGUGUAGCGGUGAAAUGCGUAGAGAUCUGGAGGAAUACCGGUGGCGAAGGCGGCCCCCUGGACAAAGACUGACGCUCAGGUGCGAAAGCGUGGGGAGCAAACAGGAUUAGAUACCCUGGUAGUCCACGCCGUAAACGAUGUCGAUUUGGAGGUUGUGCCCUUGAGGCGUGGCUUCCGGAGCUAACGCGUUAAAUCGACCGCCUGGGGAGUACGGCCGCAAGGUUAAAACUCAAAUGAAUUGACGGGGGCCCGCACAAGCGGUGGAGCAUGUGGUUUAAUUCGAUGCAACGCGAAGAACCUUACCUGGUCUUGACAUCCACAGAACUUUCCAGAGAUGGAUUGGUGCCUUCGGGAACUGUGAGACAGGUGCUGCAUGGCUGUCGUCAGCUCGUGUUGUGAAAUGUUGGGUUAAGUCCCGCAACGAGCGCAACCCUUAUCCUUUGUUGCCAGCGGUUCGGCCGGGAACUCAAAGGAGACUGCCAGUGAUAAACUGGAGGAAGGUGGGGAUGACGUCAAGUCAUCAUGGCCCUUACGACCAGGGCUACACACGUGCUACAAUGGCAUAUACAAAGAGAAGCGACCUCGCGAGAGCAAGCGGACCUCAUAAAGUAUGUCGUAGUCCGGAUUGGAGUCUGCAACUCGACUCCAUGAAGUCGGAAUCGCUAGUAAUCGUAGAUCAGAAUGCUACGGUGAAUACGUUCCCGGGCCUUGUACACACCGCCCGUCACACCAUGGGAGUGGGUUGCAAAAGAAGUAGGUAGCUUAACCUUCGGGAGGGCGCUUACCACUUUGUGAUUCAUGACUGGGGUGAAGUCGUAC